RNAcentral lists this long non-coding RNA (429 nucleotides) under Equus caballus (horse). Its description in RNAcentral is "lncRNA (ENSECAG00000060276.1)". The record is from RNAcentral. Lineage: Eukaryota; Metazoa; Chordata; Mammalia; Perissodactyla; Equidae.
AGAACAUAAGCUCGGCAAGGCAGAGACUUGGUUGAAGUGGCCUACCCAUGUCUUCUGAGCCAGAGCUGAGCCCGACAUAGGUCUCACAGGCAAGGUUGCUCUCGCCUCCCCCACGGGAGGAAGCUGGCUGUCAGUCAUCUUCCAAGGUAUGCCACACCUGAGGAUCAUCCAGCAAGAAGAGGUCACCCCAUCAGAAGGGUGGACCCCAGGAGCCAGGACUUGGGGACAAAUGAAUUGAGAAAGUUUAUUUAAUGAAGCAAUCGUGAGAAGAAAAGUUUCCAAUUACACUCCAUUCCCACUUUCAAUCCCAGGCAACUGGAAAAAAAAUUAACUUUUAUACCAUUUUCUACAUGAGGAUAGUCUUUCAGAGAUCUUCAAGGACUCCUUCAAGGCCACGCACCUAGUAAAUGGUGGAGCUGGAACAUGCAC